RNAcentral lists this ribosomal RNA (492 nucleotides) under uncultured bacterium. RNAcentral describes it as "partial 16S ribosomal RNA". It matches the Rfam family "Bacterial small subunit ribosomal RNA", at positions 29 to 507 of the family's 1533-position model. The record is from RNAcentral.
AGUGAACGCUGGCGGUAGGCCUAACACAUGCAAGUCGAACGGCAGCACAGUAAGAGCUUGCUCUUACGGGUGGCGAGUGGCGGACGGGUGAGGAAUACAUCGGAAUCUACUUUUUCGUGGGGGAUAACGUAGGGAAACUUACGCUAAUACCGCAUACGACCUACGGGUGAAAGCAGGGGAUCUUCGGACCUUGCGCGAUUGAAUGAGCCGAUGUCGGAUUAGCUAGUUGGCGGGGUAAAGGCCCACCAAGGCGACGAUCCGUAGCUGGUCUGAGAGGAUGAUCAGCCACACUGGAACUGAGACACGGUCCAGACUCCUACGGGAGGCAGCAGUGGGGAAUAUUGGUCAAUGGGCGCAAGCCUGAUCCAGCCACACCGCGUGGGUGAAGAAGGCCUUCGGGUUGUAAAGCCCUUUUGUUGGGAAAGAAAAGCAGCAGGUUAAUACCCCGCUGUUCUGACGGUACCCAAAGAAUAAGCACCGGCUAACUUCGUG